GUGCCACCCAGUAUUGGCUGCCUGCCCGAAUGCUGUCUUCUCGAGCUGCUGGGAGAGAAGCAGGGUGCUGAAGGACUCUUUCUCCAGCCAUUGGCCCUAACCCGAGCAAAGAUGGAGAGCUAAGUGGCUUUUUCUGAGUAUGCCCGGCGGGGGCGGGUGGGGGCGGGUUGUGUUCUUGAACCAGAAAGGGCGCUUCGGGGCGUACAGUUUGGCAGCCUUAGCGAUCCAUUCUCAUCCUGACCUUCAGCCUCAAUAAUUAGAGCCAUCUUAUCUAACAAAACAAGAAAGAUCUGGGGCAGUGUGGGACAGAAUUAGAAAUAACCCACCAGGAGAUCCGAAGUCACCCCAACGAGGACAGCACUUGUAGCCCAGUGGAGAAGGUUUACUUGUUGGAGGCAGACAGAGGCAACCUGAGCUCCGUGCUUGUUAGUUUUAUAAACAGAAAGAUGGUUCCCAACAAACACUCUGACAAACAAAUCAUGCCUGGAUGAAAUUGAAGUGAACCUCUUCCCGGCAGGGGCGAUAAAUUAACUCGCAGCUGUGGGCAACUGUGGGCAGCUGUGGGCAGCUGUGGGCAGCUGUGGGCAGCUGUGGGCAGCUGUGGGCAGCUGUGGGCAGCUGUGGGCAGCUGUGGGUUUACCGCUCAGUCUCCAUCCAGUCUAUCCCAGGAGAGUCGCCCUCACCCCUUCUUGCCAACACUGCUAUAUUUAGCUUGUCCAGCAUGUGCGCUGUCUAUAUUUAGUGCCUAAAAGUCAGAGUUCAGUGCACAAUUCAUCAGGCCAUCAGUCAUCUCUCCAUUCCAUUCACACAUAUAGAAAAAUCCUUCCAAGAGGUUGUCUUGCUCUCCACUGCGGGGUAGGGGUGAAGGCGGUGGGAAGCCAUUCUAAGAAUGAAGGAUUGAACCCAUAGGCGGGAGAGGGUUUCCUGCGGUCUCUGGCAUGCUGUGCCCGUCUGAGUCCCAGACCCUGAGCGAGAGCCAGGGUAUGAGUGUGGCUCCAGAGGGCGAACAGAAGGCAGGUGGAAAAGCUCAGGAGUGGAUAGCAGAUUCUGCCGCGCUCAUCUGGUUCCUAUUGAUACUGCAGAAAACCGGUCACUGCUCAGUAAGUCUGCUACUGGACGUGGGGUGUGGAGCCCACAGUUUCCUACACCUCUGGAAUAGCUCAGGAGAAAGCUGCCCAAGUCUGUCAAAGAGUAAAUGUAACAGCACACUAGCAAUAGACAGCCAACAUGAAGCCCACCAUUCAACUAAGCCGGAGGUGUGACUGCCACGGAGAGAAGUCAUGGGGAAGGCUAUGACUAUGCAGGCCACAACAGGCCAGGGCCUCCUUUGGGUUGACUAUAGUGGGAACAUGACAGAGUGGGGGACUUUGUGAGGAUAACAGAAAGGACAAUGGGAUGUCUUCACCUUUGCUGUUUCAAGCACCCAACUCACAACUGCCUGUCACUCGAGAUCUAGGGGGUCUGAUGCCUUCUUUUGGCCUCUUUGCAUGCGUGCAAUUAUGUACACACACACACACACAAACACACACACACACACACACACAGAGAGACAGAGACAGAGAGAGAGACAGAGACAGAGAGACAGAGAGACAGAGAGAGAGACAGAGACAGAGAGACAGAGAGACAGAGAGAGAGACAGAGAGAGACAGAGACAGAGAGACAGAGAGAGACAGAGAGAGACAGAGACAGAGACAGAGACAGAGACAGAGACAGAGAGACAGAGAGAGACAGAGAGAGAGACAGAGAGACAGAGAGAGACAGAGACAGAGAGAGAGAGAGACAGAAAGAGAACAAUGAGAAGUCUUAAGGACAUUGGAUUCUGAAAGACUGGAUGGGGAGUACUCCAUUUGCCAAGGCUGUCUUAUGAAGAGUUUGGACGUGUACUUGUAAUGUGUACCUGAUGAAGAACAUCUUGAGGAAAACACUCACCUGCUUGUGGCUCCUUGUGCUCUGAUUAAGUUGUUAGAGUUCCACUGGACUGUCUUCCCAGUGACAUGGAAAGCAUGUGUGUCUUGGAGCAGAGAAGCAAUACUGACAGCUUGGAAGAUCGCUACUGCGGAGCCAACAUGAUAAAGCCAUGGGAGAAAGACCUACUCUGAUUUCACUGAUGCCAGUGUGGACAAAGCUGCCCAUGACCUCAGGGGAACUUCAUCAAUGGCCAUAGAGAAUGGCCCCAUGGGAAAGGACUUUAAGGUUACACUAUUGUUCGCCCGUGAGAACCUGCCUACCCCUUGUCAAGUCCCCAGCACAGGCCAUACCAUUUUUACACUUCGAGAGAGUUCCAGUUCCUUCCUCCUGGAAGCCUCACGGUCCUUCCUCCUCCUCCUCUUUGAACCUGACAGGCUUAUUCCUGAGUCUUAAACACCGAUGGCUGACAGCGCUGGCGUCCAGCUUCUGAAUGGGAACUUGUCCUAUGCAGUGCAUUCCCUGGAACAUCUUUAAGGAAUGAGUUAUGUAUUGAUAUUCGUUCCUGUAAAGUCAUCCACAGCGGAUAUGGUUUACUUGAGAGGAUUAGCACACUGGUGCUGUGCGUUUUCCAAGUGAAUUUAAUGACCACAGCUAAGACCCGUGCAUCUACGCAUGAAGACGCAAUGGAACCUUAACUAAGACACACGGUCUGGGGUCUUGCACUAAAUUUCAUCGUGAAAGCUAGUCAAACAUCAGUGAUCGCCACUCAUUGCUUUGUGACUGGAGACAAUCUAGAGCUGUAUCCGUUUCCAGAUGCCACGACUUCUCUGUCAUGAUGGACUGCACCCUUAAACUGUGAGCAAAAAAAUAAAUCUUCCCUUCCUUAAGUUGCUCUUGUCAUAGCACUGAGAAAAUAUAAACAUAACAGGUUGAAAGAGAAUGAAACAGAGCAAAAAAUAUCAGUUAAAAUGGUACACUGCUUACAAUAGAGUUUGUGCAUGAAAACUUUAUUUAAAUGUAUGUAUGCAUUGAUUAUGUGCACAUAUUUAGUGAUAGUUUAACACAUAUUUCUUAUCAUAACUGGCAAGAGUAAAUCUGUUUAAAAUAUCUAGGUAAAAUGUGAGCUCCACAAAGGUACAGUUCUAUAUGUCCACAAUGAUAUCUCCUGUAGCCGAAACAGAUCCUGCUACAUGGCAAAUAAAUAUUUCUGAAUAAACAAAUGGCUUUGUGAUUUAAUUGGUUCCCCAACCUACUAAAAAUAAAGCUGUCUUAUACAUUUCAUUGCAACUAGUGAAAGUAUGUGUGAUAAAAUGAUAUAAGGCAGGUGUGGAAUCAUUCAACAGGUUUACCCUCCUCCACCAGCAUUGCCCCUUCUACUCCCUUUUGUCAUUCUUCCUUCUUUAUUCUCAAAGACUGAGUCAAUUUGGGGACAAAUUUAUAAUCCCCUGGAUCUCAUAAAGAUUUGCCACUGGGAUUCUUCAAGACCAAAAUAGGUCCAUUCAAGAUUUAAAAAAAAAAAAAAGCACUAAUGUCUUUCCCUAGACAGGCCUCAUCUAGCCUAAGCCAGCCUUGAAUUCACUAUGUAGCUAGGAUAACUUUCAAUUCCAGAUUCUUUCGCCUUCUCCUCCCAAGGACCAAGAUUACGUGAUGUACCAGCACUUCUGGACCACAUCUGUAUCCUCAAGGCUGCUCAGGAAGCAGCUACUUUGUGAGUGCCAGGAAUCCCAUUUGAUUGGAGUGUACCAGGUCAGAGUGCGGACCAGUGGUCUUUCUCAAGGUUGUGAGAUUUAAAAAAAAAUCCUGAUUUAUGAUUUAUAAGGGCUGAUGGGAGGUUCUACAGGAAUGGUUAGAUGCAGCAGGACCUAGGUUUAGGAAUCUAAAUUUUCUCUUCGGGCUUUUCUUAGUCAUUCCUUUGCCUGAACAACUCCUGCCCUUUUUGAUUUCUUUCUUUUGAAGGAAUCACCAGGCCAUCUUAGAUUCUAAGCCCAACCUCAUAGUUUCAUGCAUUUUUAAUUGAUAUAUUUGUGAAGGGAAAAUUUAAAUCUCUUUUGGGCUUGUAAGGAGACUGGGAAACAGUACUUCCUUUGUCUAACAACAACAGCAGCAGCAGCAGCAGCAGCAGCAGCAGCAGCAGCAGCAGCAGCAGCAACAACAACAACAGCAACAACUCCAGCUAAGUGCUUCAGAAAGGGACCUAAUCGGGCCUCAGCUGGAUCCCCCUGGCUUGUGAUCUGAAGAUUCAGUGACAGUUGCUGUGUGACAGUUUAUCCAGAGGGGGAGGAGGACUGUUGAGAACAAACAUAAUAAAGUCAAGAGAGGCGAAAGGAAACUGGAUGCUAAUGCUUUAUUGCACAUGGUGUUGUCUUUCUUGAAGAUAAAAGAGGUAAAAUUCAGUAUUGUUUCAGCUUUCUUGUGAAUUACUAUGCAGUUUCAGACAGCAUAAAGCAAAGUCCUUCAUACAGAGCAUUGCCACACAUUUCUAGCCCAGUUAAAAUAAUCAAGUAAGCCCGUGGCUUGACAGGAAGAAGGGAAAGACAGUAUAUUAAAGAAAUUUUAAAGUAUUUCUGAGAAAUAUAGGGGACACAUUUACAUUCUUUUCAUCAAAAAAACCCCCACUGUGUUUAUGUGUAGUCACGUGUGUGUUUGUGUGUCCACAUGCACGUAUGUAUACUUAUUUUCCAUCCCACUUUGAAAAAGUAUCUAUUGGGCACAGUUUCUCACCUCUUGUUCCAAAGCUUAGAGAACUGGAAAAUUUAAGAUUUGUAUAACUUCUUGUAUCAGACAGGGAUGACCAAGAUGGAAAUAACUUAAAUAAUAUCUUAGUUAUGAGCAGCCAAAGAUGAGCUUGAACUGAAGGAAGGUUGACACGGGACUUUAUCCUCUGUGAUAUGUGAGUUAUGGAUAUGGUCAGCAGCCACAACUGGACUCAGUGAACAGUUGCUGGGUGUGUCACGGGCUGUCAGGGAUGGAGAUCUCUGAAGCAUCAUCGGUGCACAGCACAUACACGGCUUUUCUGAGUUACCGUUACAGAGCAUAGAAGAGGCACCAAGCAAGUGUAGACUUGAUGUGCCAAGAUUGGCUUACAAAUUACAUUUCAGGCAAAAAGGAUAACUUUCUGACAGGUAAGUCAGUGGGGACUUUCUUAAAUAUCCCUGUCACUUCUUCAGGAUCAAGCUUCGUGUAUAAUGCCUUCCCUGUCACACUGUAAGAAAUGAGGACACUUCCGGGUAGAUGACUUUGUUAGUGCCCUAGCAUGCCUAAUCCGUACGACGUCACAACUUGUUUGAGCUAGUUUUGCAAAGACAGAAUGAGAAGACACUGUUGAGGCUUGGCCUUUUUGCUAUGUGUUGUGAUGCUCGAUACUGGCCUCCAAGGCCUGGUUGCCCCAGGGAUGAGAGAAUCUGCAUGCACACAAAGUAAUGCUACAUGACUUUGCUUCUUAAUUUAAAACUACUGGUUGGAUAAAGAUGUCUACAGUCUAACGCUGAGCAGAAGAGAGGAAGAUGGAGUCUCAAUUCCCUGGCUGGGUGUCUGAGGAGGACCACGAGGAGAGAGAGAAGAAGGUGGAGAGAGGAGAAGACACCAUGGAGUAGGUGAGACAUGAACGUCUGGCCAUGAGAGCGGCCAAUAGGAGUUAAGAGCAGCCCAGAGGGAACACGGAUGCGGAUGCUUGGUUUCCAUCCAGCUGGCCGACUGACUGGGAUGUGGCCUGGAGGAACAGGAGCUGUUUGAGGACAGGGGAUGAGGGAAAAGAUCUCUGAAGGCUUGUUUGCCGCUCCUUUGGUGACACGUGUUGGUUGUUAACAGACCACUAGGCUAUGAAUUUGGACUCUUCCAGCUAAAUAAAUAUGCGUUACAUUUACAUACCCAUCUAGUCCAGUGGGAACCGAUUAGUAACGUCAUGUCUGCAUCAGACAGGAAUUCACUUUCUCGCCAGGUUUCAGUGAUGCGGUGAUAUCCUGAGAGACAUCCCGCUGAAAUCAGAACAGCACCUUGGUUCCCACCAAACAAAUAAAUCCCACAUGCAUCUGGGAGUUGGUGAUGGUUUUUUCCUAUCCAAGAAUGAUGAGAUUUCUGAGUCCCUAAAUGCUUGAAAAUACAGACAUGCUAGACAUUCACUUGACAAGCUUUGCAUGUAUCUUGCAGAGAGAUUUUCAAUGUAGAAGAGGGAGCAGGCUACGUGUGGUGGCGCACGCCUGUAAUCUCAGCACAAAGGCGGGAAAUGUUUGCUGAAAGUUUGAAGAAAUCCUGAUCUACGAAGGCAGUUCCAGACCAGCCAAGGAUACACUGAGCUUGUGUCAGACAAACACGUAGGACUGGGGAGGUGUCUCAGGGAUUAAAAGCACCUACUGCUCUUGCAGAGGACCAAAGUUCAAUUCUCAGCACCCACAUAGGGUAGCUUUCAACCUCCUAUAACUCUACAUCUAAGUCACCUAAUGGUCUCCUCAGGAUUCCAUGAUGCCUGGACACACAGACAUAUACACACACACAGAAAAGACACACAUACACAGAUACACACAAAGACACACAGACACACAUACACACACAGACACACAGACAGACACACACAGACACACAGACAGACACACACAGACAUACACAGAUACACAUACACACACAGACACACAGACAGAUACACACAGAGACACACACACAGACACACAGACACACACAGACAUACACAUAGACACAUACAGACACACACACAGACACACACACAUACACACACAGACACACACAGACAUACACACAGACACAGACACAGACACAGACACACACACACACACACACACACACACACACACACACACGGAAAGGUCCAUCUUUUCUUGUGUCUAGUUCCACCAUUUAAUUCAAGUCAGCUAAAGUGAUGUCAGAGAAGGUACCAAGUGCAGGGAUUACCAACACGUCGAUGUGGGGAAUGUAGGGCAUGG
Non-coding RNA from Rattus norvegicus (Norway rat), 6842 nucleotides. The record is from RefSeq and is a predicted model, not a curated record. NCBI's taxonomy places the organism in Eukaryota, Metazoa, Chordata, Mammalia, Rodentia, Muridae.